CACUGAAUGAGAUUUUAACACGAAGUGAGUGGCGGACGGGUGAGUAACACGUGGGUAACCUGCCCAGAAGCAGGGGAUAACACCUGGAAACAGAUGCUAAUACCGUAUAACAGAGAAAACCGCCUGGUUUUCUUUUAAAAGAUGGCUCUGCUAUCACUUCUGGAUGGACCCGCGGCGCAUUAGCUAGUUGGUGAGGUAACGGCUCACCAAGGCGAUGAUGCGUAGCCGACCUGAGAGGGUAAUCGGCCACAUUGGGACUGAGACACGGCCCAGACUCCUACGGGAGGCAGCAGUAGGGAAUCUUCCACAAUGGACGCAAGUCUGAUGGAGCAACGCCGCGUGAGUGAAGAAGGGUUUCGGCUCGUAAAGCUCUGUUGUUAAAGAAGAACGUGGGUGAGAGUAACUGUUCACCCAGUGACGGUAUUUAACCAGAAAGCCACGGCUAACUACGUGCCAGCAGCCGCGGUAAUACGUAGGUGGCAAGCGUUAUCCGGAUUUAUUGGGCGUAAAGCGAGCGCAGGCGGUCUUUUAAGUCUAAUGUGAAAGCCUUCGGCUCAACCGAAGAAGUGCAUUGGAAACUGGGAGACUUGAGUGCAGAAGAGGACAGUGGAACUCCAUGUGUAGCGGUGAAAUGCGUAGAUAUAUGGAAGAACACCAGUGGCGAAGGCGGCUGUCUGGUCUGUAACUGACGCUGAGGCUCGAAAGCAUGGGUAGCGAACAGGAUUAGAUACCCUGGUAGUCCAUGCCGUAAACGAUGAUUACUAAGUGUUGGAGGGUUUCCGCCCUUCAGUGCUGCAGCUAACGCAUUAAGUAAUCCGCCUGGGGAGUACGACCGCAAGGUUGAAACUCAAAAGAAUUGACGGGGGCCCGCACAAGCGGUGGAGCAUGUGGUUUAAUUCGAAGCUACGCGAAGAACCUUACCAGGUCUUGACAUCUUCUGCCAACCUAAGAGAUUAGGCGUUCCCUUCGGGGACAGAAUGACAGGUGGUGCAUGGUUGUCGUCAGCUCGUGUCGUGAGAUGUUGGGUUAAGUCCCGCAACGAGCGCAACCCUUAUUACUAGUUGCCAGCAUUCAGUUGGGCACUCUAGUGAGACUGCCGGUGACAAACCGGAGGAAGGUGGGGACGACGUCAAAUCAUCAUGCCCCUUAUGACCUGGGCUACACACGUGCUACAAUGGAUGGUACAACGAGUCGCGAAACCGCGAGGUUUAGCUAAUCUCUUAAAACCAUUCUCAGUUCGGACUGUAGGCUGCAACUCGCCUACACGAAGUCGGAAUCGCUAGUAAUCGCGGAUCAGCAUGCCGCGGUGAAUACGUUCCCGGGCCUUGUACACACCGCCCGUCACACCAUGAGAG
This 1355-nucleotide ribosomal RNA is filed under the name Pediococcus acidilactici. RNAcentral describes it as "bacterial SSU rRNA". It matches the Rfam family "Bacterial small subunit ribosomal RNA", at positions 65 to 1410 of the family's 1533-position model. The record is from RNAcentral. Lineage: Bacteria; Bacillati; Bacillota; Bacilli; Lactobacillales; Lactobacillaceae.